AUGAGGUUCCAUGCUCAGCUUCUGGGGCUGUUUAUGCUCUGGAUUCCUGUCUCUAGUGGAGAUAUUGUGCUGACCCAGAGUCCACUCACCCUGCCCAUCACACUUGGCGAUUCAGCCACGAUCAACUGCAAGUCAAGUGAGAGCCUUGAAGAUAGUGAUGGAGACACCUAUUUGAACUGGUACCAACAGAAACCAGGCCAAGUUCCACGGCUUCUGAUCUAUGAGGUCUCCAACAGGUUCACUGGGGUCCCAGACAGGUUCAGUGGCAGUGGAUCUGAAAGAGAUUUCACUCUGAAAAUCAGCAGAGUGGAGGCUGAGGAUGUUGCAGUUUAUUACUGUAUGCAAGAUAAAGAAGAUCCUCCCACAGUGAUACAGUCCUGCACAAAAACCUGUGGUUAA
Non-coding RNA from Chrysochloris asiatica (Cape golden mole), 399 nucleotides. The record is from the annotation of a RefSeq genome assembly. NCBI's taxonomy places the organism in Eukaryota, Metazoa, Chordata, Mammalia, Afrosoricida, Chrysochloridae.